Molecule: long non-coding RNA, 467 nt
Filed under: Drosophila guanche
Lineage: Eukaryota; Metazoa; Arthropoda; Insecta; Diptera; Drosophilidae
Source: RNAcentral
UUUCAAAACAAAUUUUGGCUUCAACUUUAAUUGGGUUCAUGGCAUGCCGAAAACAUCAUCAUCGGCCACAUCAUUCGUGAACAUCAGGUGUAUUUUCUCACUAUCGGACAUAUUGUUGCGAUCAACGAUCAAUUCCGUGACAUUUUUCGCUGCAGGCUGCGACAACUGAAAGUAGGGCAUCAGGCUGCCAAACAACUCGGGAUUCCCUGCAUAGAGUGCUCUUCGAAUACGUUCCGUAUUUAAUUGGGAUACACCCAUGGGCGCUGGCCGCUGCUCAGCAUUAUCGCCAAAGGCAUCGCCGUCCAUUUUGAUACCAAAAAUUGUUCAUUUAAUUUGAAGUUUAGCAAGUUUUAAUAGCUGACUUUUAAAAACUGUUACGAGCUGAAAGGUUUCUUUCUGUAGCUGUAAUUUUGUUACAAUGAAUCAAAAACAAAGCAUUAGAAGUCGAGCUACUAUGAUUUCAAAUU